Molecule: transfer RNA, 69 nt
Filed under: Pyxicephalus adspersus
Lineage: Eukaryota; Metazoa; Chordata; Amphibia; Anura; Pyxicephalidae
Description: tRNA-Asp
Rfam family: tRNA
About the family: Transfer RNA (tRNA) molecules are approximately 80 nucleotides in length. Their secondary structure includes four short double-helical elements and three loops (D, anti-codon, and T loops).
Source: RNAcentral
GAGGGGUUAGUUAAAUAAUAAUAUUGCCUUGUCGAGGCAGAGUUGCUAGUUGAACCCUUGCACCUCUCC